RNAcentral lists this long non-coding RNA (379 nucleotides) under Vombatus ursinus (common wombat). Its description in RNAcentral is "lncRNA (ENSVURG00010024543.1)". The record is from RNAcentral. Lineage: Eukaryota; Metazoa; Chordata; Mammalia; Diprotodontia; Vombatidae.
GUGAUUCUCACCUCUGUGCUUCUCCUCAACAUGCUGAUUGCCCUCAUGACUGAGACCGUCAAUAUGGCGUCCUCCAGGAAUGAGAAAAUCUGGCGUGUACAGAGAGCCAUCACUAUCUUGGACCUGGAGAGGUGUCUGCCCGAGGCCUGGCGGUGGUGGCUUCAGGAAGGCAAGAUUCACUCUAACCUGGAGGUGGGGCUGACCCCGAGCCAAGAAAGAGACCUGAGGAUAUGCUUGCGGGUGAAUGAAAGGAGACGGGCAAGGGCCGCCGGGAGGAAUCAAGUCAUGGGCAUCAGUGAAGACCCCCGCUGUCCCCACAGGUACUGAGGCCAGGGCAGGUGGUGCCAGCCUGGGCUGAGGACAGGGGUGGGGGGUAGCC